GUCGAGCGGAACGAUGGGAGCUUGCUCCCAGGCGUCGAGCGGCGGACGGGUGAGUAACACUUAGGAAUCUACCUAGUAGUGGGGGAUAGCUCGGGGAAACUCGAAUUAAUACCGCAUACGUCCUACGGGAGAAAGGGGGCAACUUGUUGCUCUCGCUAUUAGAUGAGCCUAAGUCGGAUUAGCUAGUUGGUGGGGUAAAGGCCUACCAAGGCGACGAUCUGUAGCUGGUCUGAGAGGAUGAUCAGCCACACCGGGACUGAGACACGGCCCGGACUCCUACGGGAGGCAGCAGUGGGGAAUAUUGGACAAUGGGGGCAACCCUGAUCCAGCCAUGCCGCGUGUGUGAAGAAGGCCUUUUGGUUGUAAAGCACUUUAAGCAGUGAAGAAGACCCUAUGGUUAAUACCCGUGUGCGAUGACAUUAGCUGCAGAAUAAGCACCGGCUAACUCUGUGCCAGCAGCCGCGGUAAUACAGAGGGUGCAAGCGUUAAUCGGAAUUACUGGGCGUAAAGCGAGCGUAGGUGGCUUGAUAAGUCAGAUGUGAAAUCCCCGGGCUUAACCUGGGAACUGCAUCUGAUACUGUUAGGCUAGAAUAGGUGAGAGGAA
RNAcentral lists this ribosomal RNA (604 nucleotides) under Psychrobacter sp. CS6325. RNAcentral describes it as "bacterial SSU rRNA". It matches the Rfam family "Bacterial small subunit ribosomal RNA", at positions 61 to 659 of the family's 1533-position model. Lineage: Bacteria; Pseudomonadati; Pseudomonadota; Gammaproteobacteria; Moraxellales; Moraxellaceae. The record is from RNAcentral.